AUUGAACGCUGGCGGCAUGCCUUACACAUGCAAGUCGAACGGCAGCUCGUGUUUUUGCACCUGGUGGCGAGUGUCACACGUGUGAGUCUUACCUUGGGACAUGUCCUAUAGUUGGGGAUAGCUCCUCGUAAGCCGGAUUCUUACCGCCUACGAUCUACGGCUGACAGCGGGGGACCUUCCGUCCUCUCGCUUUGUUGUUGGCCGAUUGCUGAUUCGCUAGUUGGUGGGGUAAAGGCCUCCCAAGGCGACGCUCAGUAGCUGGUCUGAGAGGACGACCAGCGACACUGGGACUGAAAGACGGCCCAGACUCCUACGGGAGGAAGCAGUGGGGAAUUUUGGAAAAUGGGAGAAAGCCAGAUCCAGCAAUGCCGCGUGUGUGAAGAAGGCCUUCGGGUUGGAAAGCACUAUUGUCAGGAAAGAAAACCUUGGCCCUAAUAAGGACGAGGGAUGACGGUACCGGAAGAAUAAGCACCGGCUAACUACGUG
This 486-nucleotide ribosomal RNA is filed under the name uncultured bacterium. RNAcentral's name for it is "partial 16S ribosomal RNA". It matches the Rfam family "Bacterial small subunit ribosomal RNA", at positions 30 to 507 of the family's 1533-position model. The record is from RNAcentral.